UCUUUCAGUAACUUUGUUGUAAUGGAUGAGGAGUAAGACUUGGUGGUCUAAUACUGCUAAUAAAUUAGGCCAAUUUAUCAUAAUAUGUCAGUAUGGAUUGAUGUUAAAAUAGCCAUUGGAGCUGACUUUUAAGGAUACAGCAUAACAUCUUGUCCAUAAGGAUUUAUGUUGGAAAUGACCAUUGACAUUGACUUUUUAGUCUACCAUUACCAUGAUAACUAUGGCUGCAUAAAAGAAAUGUGAUUAUUUUGUAUUCUCUUAAUGCUGCAUUUGAAGUAAUUGACCAGCUGAUUCUGAUUGAACAUCUUGAAUACUCCUACGGAAUAUCUGAUAAUGCCUUUUCAUGGAUUAGAUUUUACCAAAGCAACAGGACAUAAAACUUAUCUCUAAUAAAUAUUGAUAAUGAUGAUAUGCAGCUACAUUUUGGUGUACCACAAACUCUGUAUCAGGAUUGCAAAUGUACUGUAUGUUUUUUUAACCUAUUCAUGAAAUUUGCAAAGUCACAAUAUGAACUAAUGUUACUACCCUGAAGAUAAUGAGGUGUGUUUUGAAUGAACAAAAGACUAGAGGCCAGUGUGACAGACAUAAUUGCAUAGAUAUAUGAGUUCAAAUAUGGUUUUUUUAUGGAAUUAACAAAAGUUUUAAACAUUUAAGUAGAAUUUGAAAACUUAUUUAAUCUUGCUUACCAUGACUUGAUAAGUCUCUGAAUUCGUUUAUAGGUAUUUUCAUGCAGUUGUAAUAGUAUUUCAUUUGUGUAGUUUUGUUUGAUUUAUUGUUUCAAACUUUUUAUUGUAUCUGAGGUGCCAUAUUUAAUUUUGUAAAUUGAUAAGAUUAUUGGUUAUUUUUUGUUCUUGUGUGACUUCUUAGAGUAGUUUUUGUAAGAUAAUUCUCUUCAUAGAUAUUGUAUAAAAAUAAUAAUUCUUUCAGUAAGAGUAAAGAAUGAAGCCUGCAGGUCAUACUUAGGAAAUUUUGACAGAAAUUCCUACUCCUUGUGUUUUCCCUAUGAUAUAAAACAAAAGUGUCCUUUAUAACAUUUUUUUUUGUCUUAAAUGAGAAUUCUUCAAUAGCUCAUAAAAAGGUCAUUACUAUAAUCUAAGCAGAUUAUACAUUUCUUUUCUAACGAUUUGAGACCCAAAUAUAAGGUAAAAGUCUAAGUCAUCCUUUUCCGGUCAUUUAAAAAAAAAAAAUAUCUUGAAUACCUAUUAAUAUUUUUGUUCUAUUUUGCUCGAUUUAUGUUCUUCUGAUUUAUAGUAUCAAUUUUAAAUUCCAUAUUUUAAAAUUUCACUUCACUACACCCUUAAAAAAAUGUUAAAUCCCAUAAAAAAUAUAAGCUAAAGGAAUCUUUUUUUGGUUUAAUUUUUAAUGAUAUAUUAAAGAUGAAAAUGUCUGUAUUUAUUCAUCUUCGUCUUCCAUCCAAAACUCCAAUACAAUAUAAUCUAAAAAGUGAAUCCCUGGAUCAUGCAUGCAGGGUUGGGUUUAGAGAAAACACAGAAUUAAAUGUUUUAUAAGAACAAGACUUUAGGGAUCGUACAGUGAUUUAAUCGGAUAGACAUAUUUUG
Molecule: long non-coding RNA, 1559 nt
Organism: Mytilus trossulus (common blue mussel)
Lineage: Eukaryota; Metazoa; Mollusca; Bivalvia; Mytilida; Mytilidae
Exons: 4
Source: RefSeq, a predicted model, not a curated record